CCCCUCUCACCAUUACACUCAAAUAAAAGGUAAGAAAAACAUGCUCCCCUCUCACCAUUACACUCAAAUAAAAGGUAAGAAAAACAUGCUCCCCUCUCACCAUCACACUCAAAUACAAGGUAAGAAAAACAUGCUCCCCUCUCACCAUUACACUCAAAUACAAGGUAAGAAAAACAUGCUCCCCUCUCACCAUUACACUCAAAUACAAGGUAAGAAAAACAUGCUCCCCUCUCACCAUUACACUCAAAUACAAGGUAAGAAAAACAUGCUCCCCUCUCACCAUUACACUCAAAUAAAAGGUAAGAAAAACAUGCUCCCCUCUCACCAUUACACUCAAAUAAAAGGUAAGAAAAACAUGCUCCCCUCUCACCAUCACACUCAAAUACAAGGUAAGAAAAACAUGCUCCCCUCUCACCAUCACACUCAAAUAAAAGGUAAGAAAAACAUGCUCCCCUCUCACCAUCACACUCAAAUACAAGGUAAGAAAAACAAGCUCCCCUCUCACCAUCACACUCAAAUACAAGGUAAGAAAAACAUGCUCCCCUCUCACCAUCACACUCAAAUACAAGGUAAGAAAAACAUGCUCCCCUCUCACCAUCACACUCAAAUAAAAGGUAAGAAAAACAUGCUCCCCUCUCACCAUCUCACUCAAAUACAAGGUAAGAAAAACAUGCUCCCCUCUCACCAUCACACUCAAAUAAAAGGCAAGAAAAACAUGCUCCCCUCUCACCAUUACACUCAAAUAAAAGGUAAGAAAAACAUGCUCCCCUCUCACCAUCACACUCAAAUAAAAGGCAAGAAAAACAUGCUCCCCUCUCAC
This is a long non-coding RNA of Oncorhynchus keta (chum salmon), 820 nucleotides long. RefSeq lists it as uncharacterized. NCBI's taxonomy places the organism in Eukaryota, Metazoa, Chordata, Actinopteri, Salmoniformes, Salmonidae. The record is from RefSeq and is a predicted model, not a curated record. The transcript has 6 exons.